RNAcentral lists this ribosomal RNA (468 nucleotides) under uncultured bacterium. RNAcentral describes it as "partial 16S ribosomal RNA". It matches the Rfam family "Bacterial small subunit ribosomal RNA", at positions 28 to 507 of the family's 1533-position model. The record is from RNAcentral.
GACGAACGCUGGCGGCGUGCUUAACACAUGCAAGUCGAACGGAAAGGCCCUGCUUUUGGGGGGUGCUCGAGUGGCGAACGGGUGAGUAACACGUGAGUAACCUGCCCUUGACUUUGGGAUAACUUCAGGAAACUGGGGCUAAUACCGGAUAGGAGCUCCUGCUGCAUGGUGGGGGUUGGAAAGUUUCGGCGGUUGGGGAUGGACUCGCGGCUUAUCAGCUUGUUGGUGGGGUAGUGGCUUACCAAGGCUUUGACGGGUAGCCGGCCUGAGAGGGUGACCGGCCACAUUGGGACUGAGAUACGGCCCAGACUCCUACGGGAGGCAGCAGUGGGGAAUAUUGCACAAUGGGCGGAAGCCUGAUGCAGCAACGCCGCGUGCGGGAUGACGGCCUUCGGGCUGUAAACCGCUUUCGCCUGUGACGAAGCGUGAGUGACGGUAAUGGGUAAAGAAGCACCGGCUAACUACGUG